CGUGUCGUGAGAUGUGGUUAAGUCCCGCAACGAGCGCAACCCCUACUUGUUAGUUGCCAUCAUUCAGUUGGGCACUCUAGCGAGACUGCCGGUAAUAAACCGGAGGAAGGUGGGGAUGACGUCAAAUCAUCAUGCCCUUAUGACCUGGGCUACACACGUGCUACAAUGGUUGGUACAACGAGUUGCGAGUCGGUGACGGCGAGCUAAUCUCUUAAAGCCAAUCUCAGUUCGGAUUGUAGGCUGCAACUCGCCUACAUGAAGUCGGAAUCGCUAGUAAUCGCGGAUCAGCACGCCGCGGUGAAUACGUUCCCGGGCCUU
Molecule: ribosomal RNA, 318 nt
Filed under: uncultured Streptococcus sp.
Lineage: Bacteria; Bacillati; Bacillota; Bacilli; Lactobacillales; Streptococcaceae
Description: bacterial SSU rRNA
Rfam family: Bacterial small subunit ribosomal RNA
Source: RNAcentral